Molecule: transfer RNA, 73 nt
Filed under: Camelus bactrianus (Bactrian camel)
Lineage: Eukaryota; Metazoa; Chordata; Mammalia; Artiodactyla; Camelidae
Also listed under: 2 other names
Rfam family: tRNA
About the family: Transfer RNA (tRNA) molecules are approximately 80 nucleotides in length. Their secondary structure includes four short double-helical elements and three loops (D, anti-codon, and T loops).
Source: Rfam by way of RNAcentral
GAGGGGAUAGCUCAAGUGGUAGAGCACAUGCUUAGCAUGCAUGAGUUCCUGGGUUCAAUCCCCAGUACCUCCU